This 467-nucleotide ribosomal RNA is filed under the name uncultured bacterium. RNAcentral's name for it is "partial 16S ribosomal RNA". It matches the Rfam family "Bacterial small subunit ribosomal RNA", at positions 28 to 507 of the family's 1533-position model. The record is from RNAcentral.
GACGAACGCUGGCGGCGUGCUUAACACAUGCAAGUCGAACGGAAAGGCCCUGCUUUUGUGGGGUGCUCGAGUGGCGAACGGGUGAGUAACACGUGAGUAACCUGCCCUUGACUUUGGGAUAACUUCAGGAAACUGGGGCUAAUACCGGAUAGGAGCUCCUGCUGCAUGGUGGGGUUGGAAAGUUUCGGCGGUUGGGGAUGGACUCGCGGCUUAUCAGCUUGUUGGUGGGGUAGUGGCUUACCAAGGCUUUGACGGGUAGCCGGCCUGAGAGGGUGACCGGCCACUUUGGGACUGAGAUACGGCCCAGACUCCUACGGGAGGCAGCAGUGGGGAAUAUUGCACAAUGGGCGGAAGCCUGAUGCAGCAACGCCGCGUGCGGGAUGACGGCCUUCGGGUUGUAAACCGCUUUCGCCUGUGACGAAGCGUGAGUGACGGUAAUGGGUAAAGAAGCACCGGCUAACUACGUG